UCGAGCGAAGCAGUAAGAAGAUUCUUCGGAUGAAACUUGAUUGACUGAGCGGCGGACGGGUGAGUAACGCGUGGGUGACCUGCCCCAUACCGGGGGAUAACAGCUGGAAACGGCUGCUAAUACCGCAUAAGCGCACAGAGCUGCAUGGCUCGGUGUGAAAAACUCCGGUGGUAUGGGGUGGGCCCGCGUCUGAUUAGGCAGUUGGCGGGGUAACGGCCCACCAAACCGACAAUCAGUAGCCGGCCUGAGAGGGCGACCGGCCACAUUGGGACUGAGACACGGCCCAAACUCCUACGGGAGGCAGCAGUGGGGAAUAUUGCACAAUGGGGGAAACCCUGAUGCAGCGACGCCGCGUGAGCGAAGAAGUAUUUCGGUAUGUAAAGCUCUAUCAGCAGGGAAGAUAAUGACGGUACCUGACUAAGAAGCCCCGGCUAACUACGUGCCAGCAGCCGCGGUAAUACGUAGGGGGCAAGCGUUAUCCGGAUUUACUGGGUGUAAAGGGAGCGUAGACGGCAAGGCAAGUCUGAUGUGAAAACCCAGGGCUUAACCCUGGGACUGCAUUGGAAACUGUCUGGCUCGAGUGCCGGAGAGGUAAGCGGAAUUCCUAGUGUAGCGGUGAAAUGCGUAGAUAUUAGGAAGAACACCAGUGGCGAAGGCGGCUUACUGGACGGUAACUGACGUAGAGGCUCGAAAGCGUGGGGAGCAAACAGG
This 711-nucleotide ribosomal RNA is filed under the name uncultured Lachnospiraceae bacterium. RNAcentral describes it as "bacterial SSU rRNA". It matches the Rfam family "Bacterial small subunit ribosomal RNA", at positions 62 to 776 of the family's 1533-position model. The record is from RNAcentral. Lineage: Bacteria; Bacillati; Bacillota; Clostridia; Lachnospirales; Lachnospiraceae.